RNAcentral lists this ribosomal RNA (632 nucleotides) under uncultured Bacteroidales bacterium. RNAcentral describes it as "bacterial SSU rRNA". It matches the Rfam family "Bacterial small subunit ribosomal RNA", at positions 99 to 730 of the family's 1533-position model. The record is from RNAcentral. Lineage: Bacteria; Pseudomonadati; Bacteroidota; Bacteroidia; Bacteroidales.
CGCACGGGUGAGUAACGCGUAUGCAAACUGCCUGAUACCGGGGUAUAGCCCAUGGAAACGUGGAUUAACACCCCAUAGUACUUUUAUCCUGCAUGGGAUGUGAGUUAAAUGUUCAAGGUAUCGGAUGGGCAUGCGUCCUAAUUAGUUAGUUGGCGGGGUAACAGCCCACCAAGACGAUGAUAGGUAGGGGUUCUGAGAGGAAGGUCCCCCACAUUGGAACUGAGACACGGUCCAAACUCCUACGGGAGGCAGCAGUGAGGAAUAUUGGUCAAUGGACGUAAGUCUGAACCAGCCAAGUCGCGUGAGGGAAGACUGCCCUAUGGGUUGUAAACCUCUUUUAUAAGGGAAGAAUAAGUUCUACGUGUAGAAUGAUGCCUGUACCUUAUGAAUAAGCAUCGGCUAACUCCGUGCCAGCAGCCGCGGUAAUACGGAGGAUGCGAGCGUUAUCCGGAUUUAUUGGGUUUAAAGGGUGCGUAGGCGGUUUAUUAAGUUAGUGGUUAAAUAUUUGAGCUAAACUCAAUUGUGCCAUUAAUACUGGUAAACUGGAGUACAGACGAGGUAGGCGGAAUAAGUUAAGUAGCGGUGAAAUGCAUAGAUAUAACUUAGAACUCCGAUAGCGAAGGCAGCUUACC